Hirundo rustica (Barn swallow) is the source of this 1549-nucleotide long non-coding RNA. RefSeq lists it as uncharacterized. The transcript has 2 exons. The record is from RefSeq and is a predicted model, not a curated record. NCBI's taxonomy places the organism in Eukaryota, Metazoa, Chordata, Aves, Passeriformes, Hirundinidae.
GGGUGGGGGUUUGUUCACUCGAGCCCUGCUGUGGGCAGGAGGUUCAUGCGGCUGCAGCCACGGCUCCCAGCACUUCCCCAGCUCACUGCCUUUUUUCCUGAUGACAAGGGGCCUGAGCUACCUGCUGCCAGCUGUGGCACCCAGCAGUUGCUUACAUUCUGGGGCUAAUUUCCAAGAAGAGCCAGGAAUAAUCUCUUCCCUCCACAUGCUUCUUGGCAGAAGGUUGUGGGAACAGCACCGUGGAUGUUUCCAUCUCUCCUUCUCCAUAGAUGAGACAUAUGAAGCCAAAGUAACAUCAUCCAGCUGAGAAGUCAAUCUUGUAAAGAAGACCAGAAAGCAAACCACACUGUUCCUGAGCAAUCUGCUCACAGCUUUGUUCUUCCAGAGAAGGAACACCUUUUGCCAUCUUUUCUCUCAAAAGAGCGUUUCCCCCGAAGGGUUCAGCUUGCCUCACUCAGCUCCGAGCACAGGAAAUGUUUUGCCAGCGCCGGCAGCUCUGUGCUCCCGACAGGAGCGCCCGCACGGCGAUGCUGCGCUGGCCGCAGCCCAGCCGGCUGCUCCUGGCGGUCUGGUGUAGGCAGGGCAAACUCGGCUGCUGCUUUGUGUGCCGUGCUUCUAGACAGACAGACUCCACACUGAUGAGCUUCUUGCUCUGGUGAUUUUUGCUGCAGUACUCAGCCUGGUCCUCCUGAACUCCGCAGUCACUAUGCUGCAGUCACAGUAGCUGGUAAAUGCAUGCAAAAUGGUUUGGUUUGGUGUUCCUCUGAGUUUCAAGCACCUUUGUUGUCAGAUGGUGGCUAAAUCAUUCACUAGUGAAGACAUUCUUUCUCUGCACAAACCAAAUGGAUCUGUGACCCAUGUAUCCAUUUGUAAAUACAGGUAAAUAGUAUUUUUCUGCCUCACAGCAGUGUUUUAAAAUCUGAUUCAACUAACAAUGAAAAGGGCUUCACUGUUUUCUGGUGAUGAUGAGCUCCAAAAACCUGAAAAACCAAGGUUAGGGUACCUAUGCUUUCACAUAAGGCCAGUGGCUCUGUACCUGACUUGGGGCCUGAUAAUGAUGUCUGCUUAUCUGGGAGUGUGCUUCAGGUAUCUUUGAAAAUCCAGCUGUUUCAAGGCCUCUGACAUUUUGUACUCAUGCGAUGUGGCAUUCAAAAUUGUUCAAAAUCUACUCCAGGUUAUUUUAUAUUACUGCAAUAAUAAGGAAGUAAUUCAUAUUUGUAUUUAAGCUUCACUCAGUACUGUCAAAAGAGACACAUUUUAAAACUUUAAAUAAAUAAAAUGGUAUUUAUUCCUUAAAGAAGAGUACUAUGGCAGCCUGUAGAGAGACGUCUUCUUACAUUUGCCUCUCUAGCCAUAAGGUUUUAAUGAAGAGUCUCAGUGCAGCAUGCACACAUCUUUGCCACACUUGGGAUGCUCCAACCAUCUUCUUAUGCACCCAUUUCUGCUAGAGCACUCCCCCAGCAGGCAUUGAUGCCCUGUUUGCAGGAGUCUUUCCAAAGCCCACCGAGCAGCAGCGCUGGUUAUUUUACAGCCCUUCAUUCUGACUGCA